UUGCUUCCGCCCUGCUUCCUUUUUGGAGAAUCCAAAAUGGAGUGAGAGAGGGGUUUGUGAAGACAGACAGACUGGGCUGCUGCAAGCUGCAAGGGUGUCCCCGGCCCCGCACGGCUGCUGUUGCACGGUUGCAUUGGCAGCUGGGCUGCAGCGGGCAGGAUGUGAGCGGCCAGCGGGAGCAGCAGAGCGGCCAGGAGGGGAGAGCAGGGACGGGGAGAGGAGGGAGGGAGGGAGGGAGGGCAGUGGGAGAGGAGGCUGCACUCACUCACUCACUCCCCCCUCCCGCUCCCCGGGCCCGCAGCCCGGCGCCACACUCACACUCACACUCACACUCACACUCACACUCACACUCGCACUCACACUCACACUCAGCAGUGAAGUUUGCAACCAUGUCCGCCGCCGCUCCACCAAAAUGACCGAGCAAUCGCACCCAGACCAUGACACCUACAUUGUGAGAGUCAAUGCUGUGGUGAUGAGCAGAGAUGACUCGGGCUGGCUCCCUCAGGAAGGAGGUGGGCUCAGUCGGGUCGGUGUCUGCAAGGCCAUUCAGCCCGACUCCACGGGCAGAAGUGACUUCCUCAUCCUCGGGGAGCGACUUAAAGACAAACUGAUUGUGUUGGAAUGUUUUUUGAAGAAGGACCUGGUCUACACUAAAGCAACUCCCACCUUUCACCACUGGAUGGUGGGCAACAGGAAGUUUGGGCUGACGUUUCACAGCCCUGCCGAUGCUCGUGCCUUCGACAGGGGAGUGAGGAAGGCCAUCGAGGAUCUGCUGGAAGGCUCCACCACCUCGUCGUCAACAAUACAGAACGAAGUGGAAGUUGGUGACGAUGACGUCUUCACGGCCACGACAGACAGUUCGUCAAACUCGUCGAGCAGGAAGGAGCCGCCGGUGAGGGUGUUGACCCCCACUGUGACCGAGACCCACCGGCCCCUAUGUCCCCUGAGACACGCACUUGACCAUUACAGCCCUGACAACUACCUCCUAGAGCAGUCCGUGCCCAAGCAACGACACGUGAGUUUCCGAGACGAUGAAGAGGAGAUCGUGCGGAUCAACCCGCGGGAGAAGGCGUGGUUGCGGGAACGAUACGAGGACUACCGCUACGCGGCGGUCAGGCCCAAGUACGGCGAGCAGGGAGACGGCGACUCGUACGUCCACUUCGACAAGAGCGACGCGCCCAAGCACGACUACAACUACCCCUACGUGGAGAGCUCGGACUUUGGCUUUGGCAAGGAGCUGAAGGGCGGGGUGGGGGUGGGGGUGGUGGCGGUGGUGAAGACCCAGCCCGCCCCGUCCAAGUCCAAGCUGCGGCGACGCAUCGACGACGGCGAGCGGUCCCGGUGCGUCUACUGCCGUGACAUGUUCAACCACGAGGAGAACCGGCGGGGGCAGUGCCAGGACGCUCCCGACCCCAUCCGGACAUGCAUCCGCCGUACCAGCUGUAUGUGGUGCGCUGACAGCAUGCUCUACCACUGCAUGUCCGAUCCCGAGGGAGACUACUCGGACCCCUGCUCCUGCGACACGGCCGACGAGAAGUUCUGCCUGCGCUGGCUGGCGUUGAUCGCACUCUCCUUCAUUGCCCCGUGUAUCUGCUGUUACCUCCCGCUGCGGGCUUGCUACAAGUGCGGCGUGAUGUGCCGCUGCUGCGGGGGCAAGCACAAGGCGGUGGGCUGAGCGGCCAUGUGGUGUACAGGACAUCGGACACUGCUCUGGAGAUGGAACAUCCUGAUCACAUUGUGGUGCGGAAACCGCAACGCUGGUCUCUGUGUGCGUGCGUGCGUGCGUGCACGUGUAGACACUACCUGACUGGACACCAUCAGCGCCACACACAACUAACCUUAACAACUAGACUUGUCUAUCAUGGAUAUAUAUAUAAGAAUGUCUCACAAUUGUUUAUAAUUUUUCUAAGAAUCUAAUGCGGGUGAGAGUUGAGCUAUGCGUGUGUGCGUGUGUGUGUGUGUGUGUGCGUGCGUGUGUGUAUGUG
Molecule: RNA transcript, 1985 nt
Organism: Amblyraja radiata (thorny skate)
Lineage: Eukaryota; Metazoa; Chordata; Chondrichthyes; Rajiformes; Rajidae
Gene: spred2b
Gene name: sprouty related EVH1 domain containing 2b
Exons: 7
Source: RefSeq, a predicted model, not a curated record